Molecule: ribosomal RNA, 459 nt
Filed under: uncultured beta proteobacterium
Lineage: Bacteria; Pseudomonadati; Pseudomonadota; Betaproteobacteria
Description: bacterial SSU rRNA
Rfam family: Bacterial small subunit ribosomal RNA
Source: RNAcentral
ACGGGAGGCAGCAGUGGGGAAUUUUGGACAAUGGGCGCAAGCCUGAUCCAGCCAUGCCGCGUGAGUGAAGAAGGCCUUCGGGUUGUAAAGCUCUUUCGGCGGGGACGAAAAGGUCCGUGUUAACACCACGGAUCCAUGACGGUACCCGCAGAAGAAGCACCGGCUAACUACGUGCCAGCAGCCGCGGUAAUACGUAGGGUGCAGGCGUUAAUCGGAAUUACUGGGCGUAAAGCGUGCGCAGGCGGUUUGCUAAGACAGGUGUGAAAUCCCCGGGCUUAACCUGGGAACUGCGCUUGUUACUGGCAAGCUGGAGUGUGGCAGAGGGGGGUGGAAUUCCACGUGUAGCAGUGAAAUGCGUAGAGAUGUGGAGGAACACCGAUGGCGAAGGCAGCCCCCUGGGCUAACACUGACGCUCAUGCACGAAAGCGUGGGGAGCAAACAGGAUUAGAUACCCUGGUA